RNAcentral lists this transfer RNA (73 nucleotides) under Phycisphaerae bacterium. RNAcentral's name for it is "tRNA-Phe". It matches the Rfam family "tRNA". From Rfam's summary of the family: Transfer RNA (tRNA) molecules are approximately 80 nucleotides in length. The record is from RNAcentral. Lineage: Bacteria; Pseudomonadati; Planctomycetota; Phycisphaerae.
GGCGAGGUAGCUCAGUNGGUAGAGCACCGCAUUGAAAAUGCGGGUGUCGGCGGUUCAAGUCCGCCUCUCGCCA